AUUGAACGCUGGCGGCAUGCCUUACACAUGCAAGUCGAACGGUAACAGGUCUUCGGAUGCUGACGAGUGGCGCACGGGUGCGUAAUACAUCGGAACGUGCCCGAUCGUGGGGGAUAACGGAGCGAAAGCUUUGCUAAUACCGCAUACGAUCUACGGAUGAAAGCAGGGGACCGCAAGGCCUUGCGCGGACGGAGCGGCCGAUGGCAGAUUAGGUAGUUGGUGGGAUAAAAGCUUACCAAGCCGACGAUCUGUAGCUGGUCUGAGAGGACGACCAGCCACACUGGGACUGAGACACGGCCCAGACUCCUACGGGAGGCAGCAGUGGGGAAUUUUGGACAAUGGGCGAAAGCCUGAUCCAGCCAUGCCGCGUGCAGGAUGAAGGCCUUCGGGUUGUAAACUGCUUUUGUACGGAACGAAAAGACUCUUUCUAAUAAAGAGGGUCCAUGACGGUACCGUAAGAAUAAGCACCGGCUAACUACGUG
This 482-nucleotide ribosomal RNA is filed under the name uncultured bacterium. RNAcentral's name for it is "partial 16S ribosomal RNA". It matches the Rfam family "Bacterial small subunit ribosomal RNA", at positions 30 to 507 of the family's 1533-position model. The record is from RNAcentral.